GACGAACGCUGGCGGCGUGCUUAACACAUGCAAGUCGAGCGGUAAGGCCUUUCGGGGUACACGAGCGGCGAACGGGUGAGUAACACGUGGGUGAUCUGCCCUGCACUUCGGGAUAAGCCUGGGAAACUGGGACUAAUACCGGAUAUGACCUCCUAUCGCAUGGUGGGUGGUGGCAAGAUUUAUCGGUGCAGGAUGGGCCCGCGGCCUAUCAGCUUGUUGUUGGGGUAAUGGCCUACCAAGGCGACGACGGGUAGCCGACCUGAGAGGGUGACCGGCCACACUGGGACUGAGACACGGCCCAGACUCCUACGGGAGGCAGCAGUGGGGAAUAUUGCACAAUGGGCGAAAGCCUGAUGCAGCGACGCCGCGUGAGGGAUGACGGCCUUCGGGUUGUAAACCUCUUUCAGCAGGGACGAAGCGCAAGUGACGGUACCUGCAGAAGAAGCACCGGCUAACUACGUG
RNAcentral lists this ribosomal RNA (462 nucleotides) under uncultured bacterium. RNAcentral describes it as "partial 16S ribosomal RNA". It matches the Rfam family "Bacterial small subunit ribosomal RNA", at positions 28 to 507 of the family's 1533-position model. The record is from RNAcentral.